AACGAACGCUGGCGGCAUGCCUAACACAUGCAAGUCGAACGACACCUUCGGGUCUGCUUGCGCACGGGUGCGUAGCGCGGCGGACGCUUCCCGUAGGCAUGGGAUACCACUCUUUCGGGGGUGCUAAUGCCGGGAAAUUUCUUCUAACACAAGAUAUGUCGUCUUUGGUUGGGCCCGCGUUGGUUUGGCUUGUUGGUAUGGGAAAAGCCUAUCACGGCUACGAUCCUUAGCUGGUCUGAGAGGAAGAUAGGCGACACUGGGACUGAGACACGGCCGAGACUCCUACGGGAGGCAGCAGUGGGGAAUAUUGGAAAAUGGGCGAAAGCAUGAACCAGCAAUGCCGCGUGAGUGAUGAAGGCCUUAGGGUUGUAAAGCUCUUUUACCCGGGAUGAUAAUGACAGUACCGGGAGAAUAAGCUCCGGCUAACUCCGUG
Molecule: ribosomal RNA, 433 nt
Filed under: uncultured bacterium
Lineage: Bacteria
Description: partial 16S ribosomal RNA
Rfam family: Bacterial small subunit ribosomal RNA
Source: RNAcentral